RNAcentral lists this ribosomal RNA (440 nucleotides) under uncultured bacterium. Its description in RNAcentral is "partial 16S ribosomal RNA". It matches the Rfam family "Bacterial small subunit ribosomal RNA", at positions 338 to 795 of the family's 1533-position model. The record is from RNAcentral.
CCUACGGGUGGCAGCAGUAGGGAAUAUUGCUCAAUGGGGGAAACCCUGAAGCAGCAACGCCGCGUGGAGGAUGAAGGUUUUCGGAUUGUAAACUCCUUUUGUUAGAGAAGAUAAUGAUGGUAUUUAACGAAUAAGCACCGGCUAACUCCGUGCCAGCAGCCGCGGUAAUACGGAGGGUGCAAGCGUUAUUCGGAAUCAUUGGGCGUAAAGAGCGCGUAGGCGGGAUAGCAAGUCAGAUGUGAAAUCCUCGGGCUGAACCAUAGAACUGCAGUUGAAACUGUUAGUCUAGAGUAUGGGAGAGGUAGGUGGAAUGCGUGGUGUAGGGGUAGAAUGCGUAGAGAUCAAGAGGAAUACUGAUUGCGAAGGCGACCUGCUGGAACAUAACUGACGCUGAGGCACGAAAGCGUGGGGAGCAAACAGGAUUAGAUACCCGUGUAGUC